UACGUAGGGUGCGAGCGUUGUCCGGAAUUACUGGGCGUAAAGAGCUCGUAGGUGGUUUGUCGCGUUGUUCGUGAAAUUCCCUGGCUUAACUGGGGGUGUGCGGGCGAUACGGGCAGACUGGAGUACUGCAGGGGAGACUGGAAUUCCUGGUGUAGCGGUGGAAUGCGCAGAUAUCAGGAGGAACACCGGUGGCGAAGGCGGGUCUCUGGGCAGUAACUGACGCUGAGGAGCGAAAGCGUGGGGAGCGAACAGG
Molecule: ribosomal RNA, 253 nt
Filed under: uncultured bacterium
Lineage: Bacteria
Description: partial 16S ribosomal RNA
Rfam family: Bacterial small subunit ribosomal RNA
Source: RNAcentral